UACGGAGGGUGCAAGCGUUAUCCGGAUUCACUGGGCGUAAAGGGCGCGUAGGCGGCUUUAUAAGUCGGGGGUGAAAGCCUGUGGCUCAACCACAGAAUUGCCUUCGAUACUGUAGAGCUUGAGACCGGAAGAGGUAAGUGGAACUGCGAGUGUAGAGGUGAAAUUCGUAGAUAUUCGCAAGAACACCAGUGGCGAAGGCGGCUUACUGGUCCGGUUCUGACGCUGAGGCGCGAAAGCGUGGGGAUCAAACAGG
Molecule: ribosomal RNA, 253 nt
Filed under: uncultured bacterium
Lineage: Bacteria
Description: partial 16S ribosomal RNA
Rfam family: Bacterial small subunit ribosomal RNA
Source: RNAcentral